GCGACCCCNNNUCAGGCGGGACUACCCGCUGAGUUUAAGCAUAUCAAUAAGCGGAGGAAAAGAA
Molecule: ribosomal RNA, 64 nt
Filed under: Mercurialis annua (annual mercury)
Lineage: Eukaryota; Viridiplantae; Streptophyta; Magnoliopsida; Malpighiales; Euphorbiaceae
Description: partial 28S ribosomal RNA
Rfam family: Eukaryotic large subunit ribosomal RNA
Source: RNAcentral